This 253-nucleotide ribosomal RNA is filed under the name uncultured bacterium. Its description in RNAcentral is "partial 16S ribosomal RNA". It matches the Rfam family "Bacterial small subunit ribosomal RNA", at positions 524 to 776 of the family's 1533-position model. The record is from RNAcentral.
UACAGAGACUGCAAGCGUUAUUCGGAAUUACUGGGCUUAAAGGGUACGUAGGCGGCGCUGUUAGUCGGGUGUGAAAGCCCACGGCUCAACCGUGGAAUUGCGCCCGAUACUGCAGUGCUUGAGGGAGACAGAGGUAAGCGGAACUGAUGGUGGAGCGGUGAAAUGCGUUGAUAUCAUCAGGAACACCGGUGGCGAAAGCGGCUUACUGGGUCUCUUCUGACGCUGAGGUACGAAAGCUAGGGUAGCGAAGGGG